This 1981-nucleotide long non-coding RNA is filed under the name Homo sapiens (human). Its description in RNAcentral is "HSALNT0333165". Lineage: Eukaryota; Metazoa; Chordata; Mammalia; Primates; Hominidae. The record is from RNAcentral.
UUUUACCUCAGAGUGGAGCUGAAGAUGGAUAAACAAGGGAGGAUGGCAUAAUUUAUAACCCAGCACAUGGAUAGAGGAACUGUAAAUUGUAGUCUGGAUGUCCCCGGCGCUGUCGACGAAGGAACUGAUGGGCUAGGUGACUGUACCAGUGUCCCCAGAGAAAAUCGCAGCCUCGCAGCAUGGAUUUAAAUGCAUGUGCAUGCAUGUAGAGACAUGAAAAAAGGUUUCUGACCAUUUUACACAGGAAGUCUGUCACUUUGCUGGAUCGGGCUUGAUUGCAGCUUGUGUUUUCAGCUCCAGUUCAACACCCAUUUCCUGACUAGUGAGACAGCAUGGCCAAAGCAGCUGCAUGCAGAAUUUUCUUUUUACUGUGAAAGCAAGCCCCCUCUGUUUUAACUCCUUCCAGUUCUGAAUGCUCUGUGCUUUGCUAGGACCGAUUGUGGGGUUUUGUUUUCUUCUUCUACAAAUCCCUGUAAACACAGCUGUAUUCAGUAAUGGCAAAAAAAUUCUAUCCUGUAAAUAGAAAUCUGAUCAAUUUAAUCAAAAUAAAUGUAUCCCAGAUGACUUUGAGACCAGCUGGCUACCACAGGCUUCAGAUGCUAAAUGCUCAGUGGAGAUGAAUACAGUGUUAUAUUUACAUGUUUCAGAGUGCCGGGAUCAGCCUAUAAUUUGCAAAAAGAAAUUAUUUUCUAAAGACGAGAGGUGGUCCUACCAGCUCACAGCUGAUGGUUAGGUACAGGUGUAAAUGCUGUUCAUGUGAUUUGGAGAUUUGCAGUGUUGCAUUUCAAAAGGCAUGUGCCAUGAGGCAGAGUAUGGCUGUUGUUAGUAUGGAGAAUGCUUGCUUCUAACUUGCUGUUAUGGAGAGCCGAAUGCCCUCUGAAUAGCUUCUAGUGAGGUUGAGGGCAGGCACUUGAGGCUUGUUGUAGAUUCAGAUGUGAGAGCUGGGGUUCUCCAACCCCAGCUCAGUGGAGUCAGCUCAACCCUGGGGGUGAGGAGGUUUCCCAGUUGUCAUGGGGAGCUCUUCUGGGACGCCUGUCUGGCCCUUCCACUGUUUGUUACUAAUUCUACAAAGGCAGCUCUGUGUGUUGGAUUAUGUUUGGCCAGCUGUUGAUGCAUUCCUGCGGAUGGGGCUGGGUGAGGAUCUUAUUACUGUACUUUCAAACUGUAGAUCUGUGUGCAGGGAUAGUACAGAAGGAAAGGAAAAGCAAUAAGUUACAGAAUCUGAUCAUUCUUACCUCUUUCUCCAGAUAGUCCUAGAGUGAAUCCAGAAAGGCUUUAAAGUGAAAAGAGGAAAGAGAGAGUAAGUGAUUGGGGGUGGGUGGCAUGAGGAGAAGAGAAUGAAACAGAGCAAGCGCACAAGAGAAAAACAGCCUUAGAACUUCAAAGCUGCAUAGACAAGCAGAAUGUCACCAGCUUGUAAUUAGCGGUUCAUGGUUGCGUCAGUGACUGUAUCUAUCCAAGAAUAACUAUGUGAUAUGUGCCACAAAGUGAAGAAGAUAGUCAUAACUAAGUUAUCAAACCCAGUUCAAACAAGGGCAAAUGGAUUAAGAAAUUUUCUGUUUGUAAAUCAAAUACUGAUGGAUUACACAGAUAAGACUUAACUGAAUUCUGCGUAAUUGAAGGCUGAAUUAUCAAUUUGUCAGGGGGGAUAUGUUCAUUAAAUGAAACUGUGAACGCUUAAACAUGCAAAUUAAUCAUGCGAGAAAAUAUCAGUGCAAGCUCUAUCAAUACAAGAUGUUUUACUAAAUAGCCAAAAAUGGCACUGCCAGUCUCCUAUCUCUGUAUCCACACAUAAAUUUUUUUGUUUGUUUUUGUGCAUUUCAAUAGAGAGAAGUCAAAAGUUACAUUCGAGUAAAUAGGGUAAAUUAAAUUCUAAAAUUCCCACUUUAGAAUUUAAAAAACAACUAAGGAGUUUUGAUUUUUGGUGAUCUCCCGAGUUUAAACCUUGAAGGAGCUUUUGCUGUCUUGAAGCCAAACAGCA